AACAACCUAGGUGCCCAUCAGUAAAUGAAUGGAUGCAAAAACUAUGGUACAUUUACACAAUGGAAUUCUAUGCAGCAGAAAGAAGGAAGGAGCUUCUACCCUUUGCAACAGCAUGGAUGGAACUGAGGGGAAGAGAAGGAGAGAAGGAGAGAAAUAUAAAUAUGGUUGCCUCCCAUACAUCCCCUGCUGGGAACUAACCUGCAACUCAG
This is a long non-coding RNA of Artibeus jamaicensis (Jamaican fruit-eating bat), 209 nucleotides long. RefSeq lists it as uncharacterized. The record is from RefSeq and is a predicted model, not a curated record. The transcript has 2 exons. NCBI's taxonomy places the organism in Eukaryota, Metazoa, Chordata, Mammalia, Chiroptera, Phyllostomidae.